AAAAGAGGAGGGCGCACGCGAUCCCACGUGCUCUCGCCAACGCGGAUUCGAUGCUCUUCUGUUCAUUUUCUAUCCACUGUUUCCAGCACCGCAGAGGCAGUGAAGACGGACCGCAUAGCGUACACACGCACUGCCCUCCACCCUUGCUGGAAAACAUGUCUGUGCACAUAGUAUUUCCCCCUUUUCACACCUUUUAAUUUUUGGUUUUCCAUUUUCUGACGCGUUCCUGCUUCCUGUUUUCUGAACCACAAUGACGCUUCUCAGCUUUGACUUCAAUUUUUUUAUGACUAAAAGCACUGGGAAAAUGAGAGGGGACCGUUAAAGGUUUAAUUGCUGCUCUAUUUUUCAUCGUCAUCGGCUGUUCAUCCGUUUUUUUCCCCUCAUUUUGUACAUUUAUUCCUUGCACUUCAUGCAAAUCCGGGGGACUAUGUGAACAUCAUGCUGGCGCUGCGAUGCCUGGUGUUUGCUGCAGUGAGUGCACGGUUUGCCGUGACAGGCUGGAGCAGCUCCGUGAUGCGGGAUGCGGUUGUGUGGGAACGGGCAGCACCGGAGCAACGAGGAGAGCGCAGCGGGGCUGUGGAGGAAAUCAUCAAGCCCAAACGGCUGGUACAGCAGAUCGACUCGGAGGGAGAGAUCGUACAUGGCCAUCUGGACACCCGGGUGAAGAACCACUCCGAGGGCGCACAACCUGUCCAUUUGGCUCAAAGCAGUUUUCUGAUCGAGGCCUUUGGCAGCUCCUUCGUCCUGGACCUGGAGUUAAACCACAACCUCCUUUCCUCCGACUACGUGGAGCGGCACUUUGACGAGGACGGGAAGCCCUUGCAGACUGUGGGAGGUGAGCAUUGCUAUUAUCAUGGGAAGGUUCGAGAUGUGCCCGGUUCCUGGGUUGCUCUUUCCACCUGUCACGGCCUGAGAGGAAUGUUUUCUGAUGGGAAUUUCUCCUACGGGAUUGAGCCAGUUCUGGAAGACAGUGACAAGGAAGAGGAGGCGCAUUUGGUGCGCAGGAUGCCCAAGCUGGAGCUGGCCCCACUGUGUCCAGGCUGCAAGCAGAACAGCAGUGACAGUAACGCUGACACCGAUGGCGGGAACGGCAGCGAUGGCGACAGUGACAUCUUCUUUCAACUGGAAGAGGAACCUGCCUUCGCCGAGGGGCUGCGCCGUUCAAAGAGACAGGUGCGCCGGAACCAGCAUACUGUCCAGAGUGAGACCAAGUAUAUUGAGCUGAUGGUGGUCAAUGACCAUGAGUUGUAUUUGCAUAUGAGAAAAUCAGCCUCCCAGACCAGGAACUUUGCCAAAGCUGUGGUCAACAUGGCAGAUGCGAUCUACAAGGAACAGCUGAACACCAGGAUCGUUCUGGUUGCCAUGGAAACGUGGUCAUCACAGAACAUGGUCUCCGUUGGUGAUGACCCCCUGCUGACCCUGCGUGACUUCAUGAAAUACAGGAAAGAAAACAUAAAGGAACACAGCGAUACAGCACACCUCCUCUCGGGACGCACCUUCCAGAGCAGCCGCAGCGGGACGGCCUACAUUGGGGGCAUCUGCUCUCUCACUCGGGGAGGCGGAGUCAAUGAGUACGGGAACGUGGGUCCGAUGGCCAUCACGCUGUGCCAGAGCCUGGGUCAGAACAUCGGCAUGAUGUGGAACAAGGAACGCACAGCAGCAGGGGACUGUAAAUGCCCGGACCCUUGGUUGGGUUGUAUCAUGGAGGACACAGGAUUCUACCUACCCCGGAAGUUUGCUCGCUGCAGCGUGGACGAGUACAUCCGCUUCCUGCAGGCAGGAGGCGGCAGCUGCCUCUUCAACAAGCCCAAUAAGCUAUUGGACCCUCCGGAGUGUGGGAAUGGUUUUGUGGAGACUGGCGAGGAGUGCGACUGUGGAUCGCAAGUGGAGUGUUUGCGGAGCGGGGGCGCGUGCUGUAAGAAGUGCACUCUGACUCACGACGCCAUGUGCAGCAACGGACUGUGCUGUCGGGGCUGCAUGUACGAGCUGAGGGGAGUGGUGUGCCGGGAAGCUGUGAAUGACUGUGACAUAGCAGAGACCUGCACUGGAGACUCCAGCCAGUGCCCUCACAAUGUCCACAAGUUGGAUGGGUACACAUGUGACAACAGUCAGGGCCGGUGUUACGGAGGUCGCUGUAAAACUCGAGACAGACAGUGCAUGGGGCUCUGGGGCCAUCGUUCAGCGGACCGUUUCUGUUAUGAGAAGCUGAACACCGAGGGCACAGAGAAGGGAAACUGUGGGCAUGAUGCCGGCGGGCAGGGCUGGGUGCAGUGCAGCAAGCAGGAUGUUUUGUGCGGGUUCCUGCUCUGCGCUAACAUGUCAGCGAAACCAAAGUUUGGGGAUCUGCAGGGUGAGGUGACCAGCCUUACCAUCUACCACCAGAACAAGUACCUGGACUGUCGUGGUGGCCACGCCCUGUUGGAGGACGGCUCGGACCUGGGCUAUGUGGAAGACGGCACUCCCUGUGGGCCCAACAUGAUGUGCCUGGACCACCGCUGCCUCCCUCUAGCCACCUUCAACCUCAGCGCCUGCCCGGGCACGCCCCCCCUCUCCACCUGUUCACACCACGGGACGUGCAGUAAUGAAGUGAAGUGUAUCUGUGACCGGGACUACACAGGGAAAGACUGCAGUAUCAGGGACCCCAUUCCUGACCCCAAACCCCCAGAAGACCCUAUAUCUAAGGUCUGCCAAUGAAACAAGGCAUUUUGGCAAUUUACUUGCACAGAGCACGUUCUCUCCCCAAUCAAGAGGGUGUCCAGCAGAGAGAAAGAGAAAGAGGGGGAGAGACAGGCAGAAAAACAUCCGAAGAGGAAGGUAUGAUCCCGCUCGGCAUGCAAUGAUGUGAAGUUCUCCUGCACCAUUGCCUGAUAACUUUCCCCCACUGCAUACCACUAUCUCGCUCAAUAAUCCAUGUUAAAUAUCCAUGCAAGUUAGCACUUGCUUUCCAUUCAAUACCUUUCUGAUCCUCAAUGUGGUACAGCGUCCACUGUCACAUUCAUACAUUUUUGGCCUCACAUUAUGAAAUGGUGGUGUUAGGUGGACAAAUAAACGGCCAUCAUGGUUCUUUGCUCUGAAAUGCACUGAAGCCUCCAUCCCAGAUCAUCGCUCAUCUACCUGCCAUUGCCUCAUCUCCGUGGCAACAACUGCCAAGCAGCUGAUCCUGUUCCAUCUGUUCUCAGAAUCAUCACCAAUGUGCCUCUCAUGUUUAUAUGUAUGCAGUUUAGAAUGUUUUAAUCUUUGAAAUAUCUGUUUUUGAAAGAGAUUUAUAUAUAAAAUAUAAUACUUUAUAUUUAAAUAUAACUUUCUACACUAUAAUAUAUAUUGUUUAUAAAGUUCUACAAUGUUUUUCUGAUAAGAAUUGUAUUUUCUACUUAUCAAUGUGUUUAUCUCAAUAAUUAACAGAGUUAGAGAAAACUCCCCAUGUUAAAGCUCAGUGGGAAGACAACAUACAUUAAUACAUCAUUACAGCACAAAAAUAGGAUCUAAGGUUAUGCACUAAUUUGUUUGAAUGUUUACUUAGACAUUUGGAAAGACGGAAAAUAUUUAUGUGCAUAAUGAUGCAAGUGGUCUUGUUACACACAUUUUGCAUGUCAAAACAAGUACUUAUAAAAAUUUGAAAAUAGAGGUUUUCUGUCACCGUAAUAUUAUAUUUUUAAUAAAAUGAACUUGUUAAAAACCCCAUGUAUAUCAGUUUCAUAUGAAGCCUUUUUUAUGCCACAGUCCGAGCUGAUUGAAAGGCAUUUAUUUGAGCAGCAAAAAAAAAAAAAAAUUCAUGUAAGUGUAAAUAAAUUGUGAGUCUCAACAUGUAGUUUUAUUUUUUACUUUGAAUUAGUGGAAUUACAAUGAAGUGCUAAAUGACAAAUGUUACAAAAUAGGGUUUGGACUACAUGGAUUUUACUCAAUUAUAUGCAAAUUAUAGAGUUCAGGGUGUGAUCAUUUAUGGGCUUUGCAUGAAAACUAAUACCAAAAUUGUCUUUGGGCUUCACCUUGCUUAAUCCCACCAUUCUGCUCUUUAUCUCUUCUGUUGUUUUCUCAGGUUAUGCUUCUCAUUUCAAUUCUUUUUCCUCUUCUCU
This is an RNA transcript of Anguilla rostrata (American eel), 4073 nucleotides long. It is a transcript of the gene named ADAM metallopeptidase domain 11, with no coding region annotated. The record is from RefSeq and is a predicted model, not a curated record. The transcript has 26 exons. Lineage: Eukaryota; Metazoa; Chordata; Actinopteri; Anguilliformes; Anguillidae.